RNAcentral lists this long non-coding RNA (283 nucleotides) under Gossypium raimondii (Peruvian cotton). Its description in RNAcentral is "long non-coding RNA (GRAI_LNC001214)". The record is from RNAcentral. Lineage: Eukaryota; Viridiplantae; Streptophyta; Magnoliopsida; Malvales; Malvaceae.
UUCAAUGUCUGCUUUUUUUUUUUAGAUUAAUUGAUUCAAGAGGUUUUUUUUUGUUUUUAAUAUUGGCCUUUUCUUUUUUUUUUAGAUUACCUAAUUCAAUAGUUUUUUUAAUUAUUUUAUAUUUUCAUUAGGUGUGAAAUGUGUUGACGCUUAGGUGGAAUAAUUUUUUUUCCAAAUCAGCCCCGUUAGUUAACUAACCUCCACGUCAACAUGUCUGUUAAAAAUAAACCAAUUUGACCAAAAAAAUAUGUUAGGUGUUAAAAUGCUCCCAAAAAAAAAAAAC